AUACUUACCUGGCAGGGAGAUGCCAUGAUCACGAAUGUGGUCUUCCCAGGGCAUGGCUUAUCCAUUGCACUCUGUGUGUGCUGACCCCUGCGAUUUCCCCAAAUGCAGGAAACUCGACUGCAGAAUUUGUGGUAGUGGGGGACUGUAUUUGUGCUCUUCCCUG
RNAcentral lists this small nuclear RNA (163 nucleotides) under Jaculus jaculus (lesser Egyptian jerboa). RNAcentral describes it as "U1 spliceosomal RNA (ENSJJAG00000010356.1)". It matches the Rfam family "U1 spliceosomal RNA". Rfam says of the family: U1 is a small nuclear RNA (snRNA) component of the spliceosome (involved in pre-mRNA splicing). Its 5' end forms complementary base pairs with the 5' splice junction, thus defining the 5' donor site of an intron. There are significant differences in sequence and secondary structure between metazoan and yeast U1 snRNAs, the latter being much longer (568 nucleotides as compared to 164 nucleotides in human). Lineage: Eukaryota; Metazoa; Chordata; Mammalia; Rodentia; Dipodidae. The record is from Rfam by way of RNAcentral.